GCUGGGCACAGUGGGGCACGCCUGUAAUUCCAGCUGCUUGGGAGGCUGAGACAGGGGGACCUGAGUUUAAAGCCAGCCUCAGCCAUGGUGAGGCACUAAGAAACUCAGUGAGAGUGAGACCCUGUCUCUA
Molecule: small RNA, 130 nt
Filed under: Marmota monax (woodchuck)
Lineage: Eukaryota; Metazoa; Chordata; Mammalia; Rodentia; Sciuridae
Source: RNAcentral